UCGGAGAGCCCCUACACACGG
RNAcentral lists this non-coding RNA (21 nucleotides) under Arabidopsis thaliana (thale cress). Lineage: Eukaryota; Viridiplantae; Streptophyta; Magnoliopsida; Brassicales; Brassicaceae. The record is from RNAcentral.